AUUGAACGCUGGCGGCAUGCCUUACACAUGCAAGUCGAACGGCAGCACGGAGCUUGCUCUGGUGGCGAGUGGCGAACGGGUGAGUAAUAUAUCGGAACGUACCCUAGAGUGGGGGAUAACGUAGCGAAAGUUACGCUAAUACCGCAUACGAUCUAAGGAUGAAAGUGGGGGAUCGCAAGACCUCAUGCUCGUGGAGCGGCCGAUAUCUGAUUAGCUAGUUGGUAGGGUAAAAGCCUACCAAGGCAUCGAUCAGUAGCUGGUCUGAGAGGACGACCAGCCACACUGGAACUGAGACACGGUCCAGACUCCUACGGGAGGCAGCAGUGGGGAAUUUUGGACAAUGGGCGAAAGCCUGAUCCAGCAAUGCCGCGUGAGUGAAGAAGGCCUUCGGGUUGUAAAGCUCUUUUGUCAGGGAAGAAACGGUGAAAGCUAAUAUCUUUUGCUAAUGACGGUACCUGAAGAAUAAGCACCGGCUAACUACGUGCCAGCAGCCGCGGUAAUACGUAGGGUGCAAGCGUUAAUCGGAAUUACUGGGCGUAAAGCGUGCGCAGGCGGUUUUGUAAGUCUGAUGUGAAAUCCCCGGGCUCAACCUGGGAAUUGCAUUGGAGACUGCAAGGCUAGAAUCUGGCAGAGGGGGGUAGAAUUCCACGUGUAGCAGUGAAAUGCGUAGAUAUGUGGAGGAACACCGAUGGCGAAGGCAGCCCCCUGGGUCAAGAUUGACGCUCAUGCACGAAAGCGUGGGGAGCAAACAGGAUUAGAUACCCUGGUAGUCCACGCCCUAAACGAUGUCUACUAGUUGUCGGGUCUUAAUUGACUUGGUAACGCAGCUAACGCGUGAAGUAGACCGCCUGGGGAGUACGGUCGCAAGAUUAAAACUCAAAGGAAUUGACGGGGACCCGCACAAGCGGUGGAUGAUGUGGAUUAAAUCGAUGCAACGCGAAAAACCUUACCUACCCUUGACAUGGCUGGAAUCCUUGAGAGAUCAGGGAGUGCUCGAAAGAGAACCAGUACACAGGUGCUGCAUGGCUGUCGUCAGCUCGUGUCGUGAGAUGUUGGGUUAAGUCCCGCAACGAGCGCAACCCUUGUCAUUAGUUGCUACGAAAGGGCACUCUAAUGAGACUGCCGGUGACAAACCGGAGGAAGGUGGGGAUGACGUCAAGUCCUCAUGGCCCUUAUGGGUAGGGCUUCACACGUCAUACAAUGGUACAUACAGAGCGCCGCCAACCCGCGAGGGGGAGCUAAUCGCAGAAAGUGUAUCGUAGUCCGGAUUGUAGUCUGCAACUCGACUGCAUGAAGUUGGAAUCGCUAGUAAUCGCGGAUCAGCAUGUCGCGGUGAAUACGUUCCCGGGUCU
RNAcentral lists this ribosomal RNA (1352 nucleotides) under uncultured bacterium. RNAcentral describes it as "bacterial SSU rRNA". It matches the Rfam family "Bacterial small subunit ribosomal RNA", at positions 28 to 1381 of the family's 1533-position model. The record is from RNAcentral.